GGCUUAUUGAUAUUAAUUUUAAGUCUAUCUGCCCAAUGAUUUAAUUAUUUAAUGGCUGCAGUAUAAUUGACUGUACAAAGGUAGCAUAAUCAAUUGUUUUUUAAUUGAAAACUAGAAUGAAAGAAUUAAUGAGAUAUAUACUGUCUCAUAUAUAUUUAAUUAAUUUAAAUUUUUAGUAAAAAUGCUAAAAUAUGUUUAUGGGACGAUAAGACCCUAUAGAAUUUUAUAUUUAUAUUUAGAUUAAAAUUAUUUUGAAUAUAAAUAUUUAGUUGGGAGGAUUGGUAAAUUUAAUAAACUUUAUUUUAAAUAUAAACUUUUAUUUAAGAAUAAUUAAUUGAUCUUGUAUUAUAAAUUAAAAGAAUAAAUUACCUUAGGGAUAACAGCGUAAUAUCUUUUUAAAGGUCAUAUUAAUAAAGAUGAUUGCGACCUCGAUGUUGAAUUAAGAUAAAUUUUAAAUGCAGAAGUUUAAUGAUUAAGUCUGUUCGACUUUUAAAAUCUU
This 499-nucleotide ribosomal RNA is filed under the name Bombus impatiens (common eastern bumble bee). Its description in RNAcentral is "partial 16S ribosomal RNA". The stretch from base 376 to 499 matches the Rfam family "Bacterial large subunit ribosomal RNA", at positions 2473 to 2597 of the family's 2925-position model. The record is from RNAcentral. Lineage: Eukaryota; Metazoa; Arthropoda; Insecta; Hymenoptera; Apidae.